This 847-nucleotide transfer RNA is filed under the name uncultured Bartonella sp. RNAcentral describes it as "partial 16S-23S ribosomal RNA intergenic spacer". The stretch from base 95 to 168 matches the Rfam family "tRNA". Lineage: Bacteria; Pseudomonadati; Pseudomonadota; Alphaproteobacteria; Hyphomicrobiales; Bartonellaceae. The record is from RNAcentral.
CAAGUCCACCGUGGGCUUUGAAAAACGCUUUCCUUGAUAAAAUUUAAGCGUUUUAUAAGAGGAUGCCGGGGAAGGUUUUCCGGUUUAUCCCGGAGGGCUUGUAGCUCAGUUGGUUAGAGCGCGCGCUUGAUAAGCGUGAGGUCGGAGGUUCAAGUCCUCCCAGGCCCACCAGUUUAUCCAUUACUUUCAUAAGUGCUUUUAAAAAAUAAGUACUUCUAAAAAGAUUGCUUCUAAAAAGCUUAUCAAAAUUGGCAGGCUUAUUGCUUUUGUGUGAGUAAUCCAAAGUUAAAGCAAAUUAAUGGCAAAAAAACAGUUCAAAUGCUAAAUACUAAGGAGUCAAAAUUCCUUGCAAAGUGAUUUUUACAGCGUCCAUUUGGUUGAUAUAAAUUCCAAAUGCUCAUAGACGUCAAUGCCUAUAUGAAACUAUCGGUUCAAUCAUAUCGCUUUGAGUUAUAUAGAUUUUGUAAUCCCUCUUUUGAUCGUUUUAAACGCUUUAUCCUGAUUUAGGGGCCGUAGCUCAGCUGGGAGAGCACCUGCUUUGCAAGCAGGGGGUCGUCGGUUCGAUCCCGUCCGGCUCCACCAUAAGGUCAUCAUCAUUGUUGUAAGAACAGUUUUGUAAAAGGUUUGCGAACCUUUUGCUUGUUCUAUUGAAAUUGUGAAGAGAAGAUAUAUUCAGACAUGUUCCUUUUGAAAGGUUUGUUCUGGAAGGUGAGGUUUUUCUGUGCAGAAAUGUUUCAGAAAAAGCUUUGUCAUCAGAAAGGGCUAUUGUCUAACAGCUUAGAUAAAAAACAAAUCUGAAAAAGAAAUCUUGUGUCGCAAGGGAAAGCUCAAAGCCCUUGCUUAUGAU